GAUGAACGCUGGCUAUAGGCUUAACACAUGCAAGUCGAGGGGAAACGGCAAAGAGUGCUUGCACACUUUGGACGUCCACCGGCGCAGGGGUGAGUAACGCGUAUCCCACCUGCCCUUUACUUGGGGAUACCCCGUUGAAAGACGGCCUAAUACCCGAUGUGUUUCAUUGACGGCCUCCGAUAUAAAACAAAGGUUUUCCGGUAAGGGAUGGGGAUGCGUCUGAUUAGCUUGUUGGCGGGGCAACGGCCCACCAAGGCGACGAUCAGUAGGGGUUCUGAAAGGAAGGUCCCCCACAUUGGAACUGAGACACGGUCCAAACCCCUACUGGAGGCAGCUGUUAGGAAUAUGGGUCAAUGGACGCUAGUCGGAACCAUCCAAGUACCGUGCAGGAGUGGGGCCCUUUUGGUGUAAAACUGCUUUAAUUGGGGAAAAAUUGUGGCGUGGGGGCGCCUUGGUUGUUCCGUUGAAUAUGGACAGGCUAUUCCUGGCCUGCGUCUGCUGAAUUCGGAAGGUCGGUGUGUUUUUGUUUUUUUUGGUUUAAAGGGUGUUUUGGUGUUGAUUGUGUUGGUUUGUAUUGUUUGUGUUGCAUUUUUUGCGCUGUGUGUGGUGUUGUGUGUGGUGUAUGUUGGGAUAUGUGGAUGAUGUGUGUGAUUGUGGAUGUUCUGUUGGUGUGUGAUGUUGUGUUGUUGUGUUUGUUGCUGUUUGAUGUGUGUGUUGUGUGUUUUGUGU
RNAcentral lists this ribosomal RNA (729 nucleotides) under uncultured Streptococcus sp. RNAcentral describes it as "bacterial SSU rRNA". The stretch from base 1 to 525 matches the Rfam family "Bacterial small subunit ribosomal RNA", at positions 28 to 545 of the family's 1533-position model. The record is from RNAcentral. Lineage: Bacteria; Bacillati; Bacillota; Bacilli; Lactobacillales; Streptococcaceae.